UCCAUUAAGCAGGGAGCCAGACGUGGGGCCCUAUCCCAGGACCCUGAGGUCAUGACCUGAGCCAGGGGCGUGUGCUCAACGGACUGAGCCACUGAGGCGUCCCUAUAGUCCUUCCUAAUUAAAACCUCAAGUGCCCAUUUUUCUUUGGAUCUGUCGAGGAAACCCGGCCCCCCUCCCCCACUUCUCUCUCAGCCAUAGGUACCAUGUUUGAACAACUCUCUAAGCAAUGCUUGAUGCCUUACAUUCUGCAAGGGCCCUGUUACCUCUGUUUGUCUGUAUUUUUUCAAUCUUCAGCUGUAUCUCAGGGGUUUAGCUGAAUUCAGGAAAAAGUUGAUUGCUCAAUGGGAAAUUUAGCAAACUGGCUCUCAGGGAAUUGGUUGUUGUUAAACUAAGUGUUUGCUAUACUGGUUUGUGUGUGUAUUGGCCUCAUUCCAUAUCUCAUAGCUCAUCAACUCUUGGUCUUUCUCCUUUGGAAGGAAGGAAAGAAGAAAAGGAAGGAACAAAAAAAGGGAGAAGAAGGAAGAAAUGAAGGAAAGAAGAAGGGAGAAAGGAAGGACCGUCACCCCUGAGCCAACUGCCAGACCAAAAUGUGCUUCUAAAAGUGCUGAGUCUCUGAGAAAAAGUGGUGCUGGACAUAUGUUUUUAGAAUUUUUCCUUCACCACAAGCCAAGAAACUCAAGGGUCUGUAAAAUGCUUCACAAGGAACUGGAAUGGUAAGG
Ailuropoda melanoleuca (giant panda) is the source of this 719-nucleotide long non-coding RNA. RefSeq lists it as uncharacterized. The record is from RefSeq and is a predicted model, not a curated record. The transcript is spliced from 2 exons. NCBI's taxonomy places the organism in Eukaryota, Metazoa, Chordata, Mammalia, Carnivora, Ursidae.